RNAcentral lists this ribosomal RNA (467 nucleotides) under uncultured bacterium. RNAcentral describes it as "bacterial SSU rRNA". It matches the Rfam family "Bacterial small subunit ribosomal RNA", at positions 328 to 793 of the family's 1533-position model. The record is from RNAcentral.
UUUCCAGACUCCUACGGGAGGCAGCAGUGAGGAAUAUUGGUCAAUGGGAGAGAUCCUGAACCAGCCAAGCCGCGUGAGGGAAGACGGCCCUAUGGGUUAUAAACCUCUUUUGUCGGAGAACAAAACCCGGGACGUGUCCCGGACUGCGUGUAUCCGAAGAAAAAGCAUCGGCUAACUCCGUGCCAGCAGCCGCGGUAAUACGGAGGAUGCGAGCGUUAUCCGGAUUUAUUGGGUUUAAAGGGUGCGUAGGCGGUCCGUUAAGUCAGCGGUAAAAUUGCGGGGCUCAACCCCGUCGAGCCGUUGAAACUGGCUGUCUUGAGAUGUCGAGAGGUAUGCGGAAUGCGCAGUGUAGCGGUGAAAUGCUUAGAUAUUGCGCAGAACUCCGAUUGCGAAGGCAGCAUACCGGCGGCGAUCUGACGCUGAGGCACGAAAGCGUGGGUAUCGAACAGGAUUAGAUACCCGUGUAA